This 322-nucleotide ribosomal RNA is filed under the name uncultured eukaryote. RNAcentral describes it as "partial 18S ribosomal RNA". It matches the Rfam family "Eukaryotic small subunit ribosomal RNA", at positions 1470 to 1796 of the family's 1831-position model. The record is from RNAcentral.
CCCUUAGAUGUUCUGGGCCGCACGCGUGCUACACUGAGUGGAUCAGCGGGUCAGGUUGCGCGAAAGUGUUUCCUAAUCUUUAAAUCCGCUCGUGAUGGGGAUUGACGGUUGCAAUUUUCCGUCAUGAACGAGGAAUACCUUGUAAGCGCGGGUCAUCAUCCCGCGCUGAAUACGUCCCUGCCCUUUGUACACACCGCCCGUCGCUCCUACCGAUUGAGUGGUCCGGUGAGGCUUUGGGAUCUGGGCGGAAAGAGCGUUUCGCUGUUUCUGCCCGGAAAACUCAGUCGAACCUUAUCGUUUAGAGGAAGGAGAAGUCGUAACA